GUUCUAGUAUAAGUAUUUCCUAUGCAAUAUUUGGGGCAUAGUUAUACUAAAA
This 52-nucleotide microRNA precursor is filed under the name Oryctolagus cuniculus (rabbit). RNAcentral describes it as "mir-1302 microRNA precursor family". It matches the Rfam family "mir-1302 microRNA precursor family". Lineage: Eukaryota; Metazoa; Chordata; Mammalia; Lagomorpha; Leporidae. The record is from Rfam by way of RNAcentral.